GACUUGGCCUCUAACAACUCAGG
This 23-nucleotide non-coding RNA is filed under the name Cricetulus griseus (Chinese hamster). The record is from RNAcentral. Lineage: Eukaryota; Metazoa; Chordata; Mammalia; Rodentia; Cricetidae.